AUCAGUUGUUGUAGUCGGAAUUUAUGAAAGUGUGAAAAAGAGGGUGAGACUAUGCAUAGUUGCGUAACAAACACCAAAAAGGGAAGAAAGUAGAAGGAGGAGGAAGAAUAAGAAUAAAAAGAAGAAUGACAGUGAUUCUGGAUACUUUUAAGGAGUAAAAAAGGAACUUAAAAGUUGUGGGUGAGAGAACAAACAAAUGAUG
Molecule: non-coding RNA, 202 nt
Organism: Caenorhabditis elegans
Lineage: Eukaryota; Metazoa; Nematoda; Chromadorea; Rhabditida; Rhabditidae
Source: Ensembl